UGUACGAAAAUUCAGAUUUCUAUUUGAAAAAGUCCUUAUCUCAUAAUCCAAACUGCAUUACUAAACUUAUCGCUUAGUUUGAUCAGUAAAAGAAAGAAGCUGAGAUAAGCUAGAGAGGAGAGUUAUCUAACUGUGGGCGUUGUAAUUAUACCUUAUCGGAGUGCAUCGAGCUAGCAGCGCGACUUCUUAGUUAUUUACGAGAAACAUCAAUGAUGUCGAUGCGAGUGACACAAGG
Centruroides sculpturatus (bark scorpion) is the source of this 235-nucleotide long non-coding RNA. RefSeq lists it as uncharacterized. The transcript has 3 exons. The record is from RefSeq and is a predicted model, not a curated record. Lineage: Eukaryota; Metazoa; Arthropoda; Arachnida; Scorpiones; Buthidae.